Molecule: ribosomal RNA, 484 nt
Filed under: uncultured bacterium
Lineage: Bacteria
Description: partial 16S ribosomal RNA
Rfam family: Bacterial small subunit ribosomal RNA
Source: RNAcentral
AUUGAACGCUGGCGGCAGGCCUAACACAUGCAAGUCGAGCGUAUGAAGGGAGCUUGCUCCUGGAUUCAGCGGCGGACGGGUGAGUAAUGCCUAGGAAUCUGCCUGGUAGUGGGGGAUAACGUCCGGAAACGGGCGCUAAUACCGCAUACGUCCUGAGGGAGAAAGUGGGGGAUCUUCGGACCUCACGCUAUCAGAUGAGCCUAGGUCGGAUUAGCUAGUUGGUGGGGUAAAGGCCUACCAAGGCGACGAUCCGUAACUGGUCUGAGAGGAUGAUCAGUCACACUGGAACUGAGACACGGUCCAGACUCCUACGGGAGGCAGCAGUGGGGAAUAUUGGACAAUGGGCGAAAGCCUGAUCCAGCCAUGCCGCGUGUGUGAAGAAGGUCUUCGGAUUGUAAAGCACUUUAAGUUGGGAGGAAGGGCAGUAAGUUAAUACCUUGCUGUUUUGACGUUACCAACAGGAUAAGCACCGGCUAACUUCGUG